RNAcentral lists this long non-coding RNA (341 nucleotides) under Brassica rapa (field mustard). Its description in RNAcentral is "long non-coding RNA (BRAP_LNC006598)". Lineage: Eukaryota; Viridiplantae; Streptophyta; Magnoliopsida; Brassicales; Brassicaceae. The record is from RNAcentral.
AUGGACAUCGUGGUAGCACUGCAGCAGAAAAAAGCAAGGAACCUCCGAAACAAUGAUGCUCUACGUCUACGUGAUACGUUUCUGGAAGUAUUUCCUCCCGAAGGAAGAGAUGGAUCAUGAUCUGAUGUGUUUUCAUUGAUUUCUUCAAGAACUUCAACGAUGGUAGCCAAGUUACUUUCCAUUCUUUAGCUUGUUCUGACUUUGUUAAGAGUUUGCCUGAGCAUAAAUAUAACUACAUGAUUUAUUUAUUUAGUGACAGACAAUAAAAGAGACGAGAGAACUUGGAAAUUACGUCCAAGAGAAAAGAAAAAACAAAAUAAAAUAAAUUCAACCAGUCCAGA